RNAcentral lists this ribosomal RNA (459 nucleotides) under uncultured bacterium. RNAcentral's name for it is "bacterial SSU rRNA". It matches the Rfam family "Bacterial small subunit ribosomal RNA", at positions 29 to 524 of the family's 1533-position model. The record is from RNAcentral.
AACGAACGCUGGCGGCAUGCCUAACACAUGCAAGUCGAACGGGAUCCAGGCUUCGGCCUGGUGAGAGUGGCGGACGGGUGAGUAACACGUGGGAACCUGCCUUUUGGUUCGGGAUAACCGCGGGAAACUGCGGCUAAUACCGGAUGCUCCCGAGAGGGGAAAGAUUUAUCGCCAGAAGAGGGGCCCGCGUCCGAUUAGGUAGUUGGUGAGGUAAUGGCUCACCAAGCCGACGAUCGGUAGCUGGUCUGAGAGGAUGAUCAGCCACACUGGGACUGAGAUACGGCCCAGACUCCUACGGGAGGCAGCAGUGGGGAAUAUUGGACAAUGGGGGCAACCCUGAUCCAGCAAUGCCGCGUGAGUGAUGAAGGCCUUAGGGUUGUAAAGCUCUUUUGCCAGGGAGAUGAUGACUGUACCUGGAGAAUAAGCCCCGGCUAACUUCGUGCCAGCAGCCGCGGUAAU